RNAcentral lists this long non-coding RNA (953 nucleotides) under Physcomitrium patens. RNAcentral describes it as "long non-coding RNA (PPAT_LNC003661)". The record is from RNAcentral. Lineage: Eukaryota; Viridiplantae; Streptophyta; Bryopsida; Funariales; Funariaceae.
AGAUUUUGAGAAGCGGGGUACUGUAGAAAAGAAUUACACAUCAAAAUGUGGUUACCGAAAUUGCAAAUGAAAACAGAAGUUGGAGAGAGUUGAAGUGUCUGCUAAUGCUGUGAAGGCAAAUCUUUGCUGCAUUAGGAUGAAGAUGCCUCCAAAAGAAAUCUCUCCUUCUAACAGUCUAACCAGAAUGCUUACUUAAAAAUUUUGCACACAUUGUUGGAAUUAUGCUGUUUGUUAAUGAAAUGGGUGAAAACUCCUGUUUCAAAAUAAAUAAACGAAAUCAGUAGAAGACUUGGAUUUUGAUCCUUUUUCUAACAAAUAGUGGACAAGUGAUGUCUGAUGCUAAAGAAUCAUCGAACAACUCAUGGAAUCCAAACAAGACAAGUGAGACUUACCGAUGAUUAAAUAUAAAUCUGUCUUAUUACCAAACUAUCUAUUUGAUUAGGGAAAAUAAAUAAAUAUGGUUCAUAAUGCAUACAAAAAAUAAGGCAUCUCAAUAUGGCAUAUUUGGCAUAUAAUUAUUUUAAUAAAUGCAUAGAGGGCUAUAAUUCAACAAGAUAAUUUUCCAUGUUUCCUACUUUGGCUACCCUAAGAAACAAUAACAAUUCCUCACAAAUCCUGGAAGUGUAGACACAAGAAAAUAAAAUAAACUAAAAUAAAUGAAGGUAAGUGAUUUUGAUCCUCAACCAAACAAAAUCUAAGAAUCUUAAAUAUAGGGGCCGUAGGAAGCAUGAACAAAAACAUUCUGCCAAAAACAUAGUGCCAACAUAUAAAAGAUUUAAUGCAGAUUGGUUGUUUUUGUAUUGUUUAUUUGUAUGCAUCAUCUUGACACAAUAUAUAUUCAUAUAUAUAUAUAUAUAUAUAGUUAUUUAUUUAUGUGAAAUACAGAACAACACCUUAGGAAAAUGAUCUAGACUCGCCUUACAUGUUACAAUAUAAUUAUGAAAGAUCAAACA